RNAcentral lists this ribosomal RNA (496 nucleotides) under uncultured bacterium. RNAcentral describes it as "partial 16S ribosomal RNA". It matches the Rfam family "Bacterial small subunit ribosomal RNA", at positions 28 to 506 of the family's 1533-position model. The record is from RNAcentral.
GAUGAACGCUGGCGGCGUGCCUAAUACAUGCAAGUCGAGCGAACGGACGAGAAGCUUGCUUCUCUGAUGUUAGCGGCGGACGGGUGAGUAACACGUGGAUAACCUACCUAUAAGACUGGGAUAACUUCGGGAAACCGGAGCUAAUACCGGAUGAUAUUUUGAACCGCAUGGUUCAAAAGUGAAAGACGGUCUUGCUGUCACUUAUAGAUGGAUCCGCGCUGCAUUAGCUAGUUGGUAAGGUAACGGCUUACCAAGGCAACGAUGCAUAGCCGACCUGAGAGGGUGAUCGGCCACACUGGAACUGAGACACGGUCCAGACUCCUACAGGAGGCAGCAGUAGGGAAUCUUCCGCAAUGGGCGAAAGCCUGACGGAGCAACGCCGCGUGAGUGAUGAAGGUCUUCGGAUCGUAAAACUCUGUUAUUAGGGAAGAACAUAUGUGUAAGUAACUGUGCACAUCUUGACGGUACCUAAUCAGAAAGCCACGGCUAACUACGU